Small nucleolar RNA from Gastrolobium bilobum, 107 nucleotides. Lineage: Eukaryota; Viridiplantae; Streptophyta; Magnoliopsida; Fabales; Fabaceae. The record is from RefSeq and is a predicted model, not a curated record.
AUUCCAUGUUGAGGAUACUUCCUGAGUAAUCCUUUAAAUCGUUUCCAAGCCUCGUACAGAGAUUCGCUUUCUUUUUGUUCAAAAGCAUUGAUCUCCGCCUUGAGUCU